RNAcentral lists this ribosomal RNA (468 nucleotides) under Lingulaulax polyedra. Its description in RNAcentral is "Lingulodinium polyedra partial Bacterial small subunit ribosomal RNA". It matches the Rfam family "Bacterial small subunit ribosomal RNA", at positions 1061 to 1527 of the family's 1533-position model. Lineage: Eukaryota; Dinophyceae; Gonyaulacales; Lingulodiniaceae. The record is from RNAcentral.
CGUGUCGUGAGAUGUCGGGUUAAGUCCCUUAACGAGCGAAACCCUUAUCUCUAGUUGCCAGCGAGUAAUGUCGGGGACUCUAGAGAGACCGCCGGUGUUAAACCGGAGGAAGGUGGGGAUGACGUCAAGUCCUCAUGGCCCUUACGCGCUGGGCUACACACGUGCUACAAUGGCAACUACAGUGGGCAGCAACCUCGCGAGGGGUAGCUAAUCUCCAAAAGUUGUCUCAGUUCGGAUUGUUCUCUGCAACUCGAGAGCAUGAAGGCGGAAUCGCUAGUAAUCGCGGAUCAGCAUGCCGCGGUGAAUACGUUCCCAGGCCUUGUACACACCGCCCGUCACACCAUGGGAGUUGGUUUCACCCGAAGGCAGUGCUCUAACCCGCAAGGGAGGAAGCUGACCACGGUGGGAUCAGCGACUGGGGUGAAGUCGUAACAAGGUAGCCGUAGGGGAACCUGCGGCUGGAUCACC